GAUGAACGCUGGCGGCGUGCCUAAUACAUGCAAGUCGAGCGAACAGACGAGGAGCUUGCUCCUCUGACGUUAGCGGCGGACGGGUGAGUAACACGUGGAUAACCUACCUAUAAGACUGGGAUAACUUCGGGAAACCGGAGCUAAUACCGGAUAAUAUAUUGAACCGCAUGGUUCAAUAGUGAAAGACGGUUUUGCUGUCACUUAUAGAUGGAUCCGCGCCGCAUUAGCUAGUUGGUAAGGUAACGGCUUACCAAGGCAACGAUGCGUAGCCGACCUGAGAGGGUGAUCGGCCACACGGGAACUGAGACACGGUCCAGACUCCUACGGGAGGCAGCAGUAGGGAAUCUUCCGCAAUGGGCGAAAGCUUGACGGAGCAACGCCGCGUGAGUGAUGAAGGUCUUCGGAUCGUAAAACUCUGUUACUAGGGAAGAACAAAUGUGUAAGUAACUAUGCACGUCUUGACGGUACCUAAUCAGAAAGCCACGGCUAACUACGUG
This 497-nucleotide ribosomal RNA is filed under the name uncultured bacterium. RNAcentral's name for it is "partial 16S ribosomal RNA". It matches the Rfam family "Bacterial small subunit ribosomal RNA", at positions 28 to 507 of the family's 1533-position model. The record is from RNAcentral.